GGCGGCAUAGAACCAUUAGGUGACAUCAUAGGAACAUGGGCUGGACCUGGGAAGCAAAGAGGUGCCACUUCACAACAGGCUGCAGGACUGUAUUCCUCCCUUGGAUGUGAUGGAAGCAGAAUGGACAUGUUUUGUAUAACAUCAUUUGAGAUGGUGAAAAACAUUCCUGCAAUGGAAGCACUGAUAAAUUCAACUUGACUUACAGGAGAUAUUUUGAACCAGCAGCAGAUGUGCAGCUCAGUCACCUACCCACAAGCCAAACAGUGGUUUGUAACCGCACAGAGGGCAGUGACUCUUCCCUCGGUACUAACACACUGCUAAUGCCACUGCCUUGCAUUGCAGCAAGGUCACACAGCACCCAUUAAAGUUGUUUAGAUAGGACUAAAUCUCAGAAGUUCAUGUGCUGUGAAUCUGAGAAGAUAGAUACUUGAGGACCACUAGAAGAGCAGCUGAGAUGCUGACCUCUUAAAAGCUAUCAGCAAAGCGUGCAGAGCUGCAGGGAAGCCUGCCAGUUUUCCAGCACUGUCUUGUUUGUGCUUUAAGUACAAACUGAAAAAAUCUGGUUUAUUGCAUUGCAGAGCACAUAAAAACACAUCCGAUGUAACAGAAACAAACUGUAGUAAUUUUUAUGAUAUUUAUGAUACUUUAUGUUAUUUGAUUUAGUAUUCCAGUCUUUCCCUUACCUUGAAUACACUGAAUGUGUCCAUCUUCAGUUGUAAUUGUAAAUGUUUCACCUGGGUUCACCUGCACAAGAAUAACCUGUUAAAAAAAAAAAAAAGGAAAACAAAAUAUAAAGCAGUUAGUUAGCUUUUUAUUUAUUUACUUUAAAGAUUACUUAACCUCUAUGCAUGUAUCUUACUUCAUGUAAUUUUAAGCAUUCCUGAGAAGCACUCUCCAUUGCUCAGAACAGGAAGUUUGCACAGACCUGUUACGUUUAAGCAGUGUAUGUAAAACAAGACCCAAAGGAACAGCUUGUUAAACACUGGUCAACACCAACUCUACAGCUUCUGCAUACUGCUAUAUUCAUCUUUUUUUUUACUUGUAACAUGGGAUGUGGAAGCAUAAAUGAACACAGACCCUACCCCAGUGAGUUCACAGGACAGGAAACAAUUCUGCUCUGGGUAGGUAGGCUGCUUCUGGACAUGAGCACAGCACCUGGAGAAGUCACACAGCAAUACUCACUGCGGUUCCAGCAAGAGGUCAGGGCAGACAGCACUGUUCAAAACAGUGAAAUUGUAACACUGAACUGUAACUAAUUCUGUCACUUCCGUGCAUCAGUAAACGUGUAGCUUUAACUCCACUACAUUUCUAGUAGUAGAGAAAGUGAUGCAAUGUUUUCUGUUGGUUUCUGUUACACAACAUACCAAACAGACAAUAAUAGGCUGGGGAUUUGCCAGAGCACAAAGGAAAUACAAAGUCUGCAGUGAAGAACUGCUGCUGGGAUGGACCCCACAGGCAGGUAUUUAAGCUCACAACUCAUCUCCAAGGACAAGAGAAAUCAGAGGCAGGAAAGGGAUGCUUUAAAAAUUCAGAGCCUUUGAACAGGUCCCAUCUUCAGAAGAAGUUCCAAUUAACUGAAGUUCAGGAAACGAUUAACUGAACUGAGUGAAAAGGAUCCUAAGUAGUGUAAGCACAGGACUGCAGAGCAGCACAGAGGCUGGAAUGUCAGGAAUGCACAGGGCAAUGUCUCAGAGGAAUGACUCACUAUAACUAAUGAAGCAAAUGCAAUUCCAUCUACCUUCCAUCAAGGAAAACUUCCAGGAAGCCUGAGUGCUCCUCAGGAGUCAGCCUAAGCCUGGUAAGAGGCGGCACAGGGCACUCAGUAAGGCUGACACGUCCAGGUGCCCCACACAACCAUUUUGGAACUAAUGGGAUCAGCACAGUUUGAGAGCUAUUUCAAAGCACUGCUCAGCAUUUUGCUGCUAUGCACUUUCUAUUGCUGAAGUAUUUGGGGUUUUUUUUUUUGUUGGGUUUUUUUUUUUUUUUUUUUUUGGAACAAGAAACUCUUCCAGAAAACUUCUGAGUUCCUUUCUGUGAAAUGGAACUGAUGAGUUGGAAGCUGCAUCUGACUGACAGGACUUGCCAAACAGCACACAUUUUACUUCUACAAACAAAACCACUCUGCAAUACUUUAUAAUUAGCCCAUCCUCUCUGGCACUGGCAGCAAAAUGAUUAAAACUCAUCUGCCUUAAUAAAGCUUCCAAGUUAAUACUCUACUUAACAGCAAGCUUGCAUAAGUGAGCUGUGGCUCAGUAGCUUCUACUCCCUGCAAGUGAGAGCAGCAGAGGGGAGCAGCACUGCGUGUGUAAUGUGACUGCAGGAUGGCAGCACGGCUGUUUAUAAACAGUGAGAAAUGCUGGCACAGUGACAUAAAGUGACAUUCUCACCCCAUGAAGACAGACACACCUAUUUUCACUAGACAGGCUUACUCGUUAUUUCCAAAAUAACCCAGUUAUAAGGCUCAGAGACUAUCUGCUUUCAAGUCUGCUCUUAAAAGGCCAUUUUUCCGUUCAUCUCCAAGACUCGACUUUUUUAAACCCCACCCGACCGCAAACAGCCUCUACUUGGCUCCCCAGACUCCAAUGACAGUCACCUUUUGGUCACUCACUGCACACUGAUACUCUACACACUGGUCUGUACAAGGAUGUGCUACACAAACACAGCGACAGAGCUGAUCUCCAAUGAGACUCAUCUCUUUUCCUCAUGUAACAAGAAACACCAGCUACUGAAUAAUCUCACAGCUGGUCAGUGUCUAAAAUUUCAUGUUGCUAAUGCUAGAACUGCAGAACGAGCUGAGAUAUUCCAUAGCUUUGUUUAUUUCAAGACACAGUCGUCUUAUCUCCAGAGUAAGAGAAAAAAAUGCAGAGUACAAUUACUCAUCACUUCUUUUUUAGUAAGGCCUAUCAUUUCUACAAGGAAGUGCCCUACAACUGAAAUAUUGCAGGUCUCUCCUCUUUCCCACCUGUAACGUUUACAAAAUAGAAGAGAUUUAAUUUAAAAUCUUCCAGCAUACACUGCUCCCCAGAUCCUCAGCAGCUCACAGUGUUGCUGUACCCUAUCUAUUCGCUCUGCGUUCAAAUACACCAAGGUCUUCACAGAUACCAUCCCCACCAUUUCACAAGAGAGUUAUCCUCCAGAAACUUCUAUACAACUUUCCCUUCUGAAUUAAUCCCCUAAUUCCUAUUUUAAUUACUGCCAGAUACGUAAAGCUACAUACCAACCAGAAAGCUACAUACCAACUUUGUUCCUCACUUCAACAAGGCCAUUAUUUGACUCUAGGCACAUAAUGCCUUCAGAUUUAUCUUUUGUUAUUCCUGCAGUUCAGUUAUGUCAACAAACCAAACACCCUUUUCUUUCCUACAAGGACCAGUUAUGCUUGCAGCUUCUUCAAUUAAGAUCCCAAGUUAAAACAACAGGACGUCUGUGAGAUUUCAGUGGUCCUUCAGCAAUGUAUGUCCCAACGAUGAGAAGACACCUCAGCAUUUACAGUAGAAGGCACUUCACUUUUAUUGCCCAAGUACUAAAUUUACUUCAAAUUUAGUGACAAUCUGUGCAAGCUUGUACUGUUGUCUGUAUUUCUACUGAUAAUAAGUGCUUACGAAGGGUUGCAUCCCCCAGAAUUCUAAAGUUUCAGCUCUAUCAGGUUUCACUAGUGUGCUGUAAUUAUUAAUGAAGAUUCCUAGCAUCAGGAAACCAGAGGUCUUUCCUCUCCUCUACAUUUCCCUGCAACCGGUUUCUCAAUUUAAAGUGCUGCAGCUUCUUUCUAAUCUGUAUUGAUUUGUUUUAUUAUGUAUUAAAUCCACACAUUUUCCCCUUUACUAUUUGAUUUUCUUUUUAGUUUAAUACUAAAGACUUACAUGUGUAUAAAACACUGCAAAUUAAAAGCAAUCUUUUCAUAUUCCCUCUGCAAGUAAUACUGAAUGAUUUUCUUCCUCUUUAUAUUCGCACUUCUGACAGUAUCAGUGUUGAGAACCACACACUUGCAGAGUCACAGAACAGGAUGGAAAGGACCUCACGUUCACCCACUUCCAGCCCCCUGAGACUGCAUCAGAUUGUUCGAGGCACCAUGCAGCCCAGCCCUGAACAAUUCCUUGGAGGGACUGACUGCAAAUCAGUAGCACAGUUGCUUCCCUUGCAGCCUUCUCUCAGCCACCACAAAAGUUGGCCAGCAAAUAGUUUGUUUGAAUCUGUUCUGUCUUCUACAGUACACCUGAAUGCCAGCCUCCCUGCAAGCCCUGCAGGCACGGUGUGACAGGGACCCGGAUGGAAGCACAAGGGAUGGACUUGCCUGUUGGAUGCUGUCCCCAUUAACCAUGUGAGGUAGAAGUGGCACUUCGUUCAAUAGAGGCGUAGCUUCUAACGGAGGCGGCUGGUCGGCCAUCAUGUCUGAAAACCAUUCAUUGACAACUGCUCACUUUAACCUCCUG
Gallus gallus (chicken) is the source of this 4427-nucleotide long non-coding RNA. RefSeq lists it as uncharacterized. The record is from RefSeq and is a predicted model, not a curated record. Lineage: Eukaryota; Metazoa; Chordata; Aves; Galliformes; Phasianidae. The transcript is spliced from 2 exons.